GAUGAAGAACGCAGCGAAAUGCGAUAAGUAAUGUGAAUUGCAGAAUUCCGUGAAUCAUCGAAUCUUUGAACGCACAUUGCGCCCCCUGGUAUUCCGGGGGGCAUGCCUGUUCGAGCGUCAUUUCACCACUCAAGCCUCGCUUGGUAUUGGGCAACGCGGUCCGCCGCGUGCCUCAAAUCGACCGGCUGGGUCUUCUGUCCCCUAAGCGUUGUGGAAACUUUCGCUAAAGGGUGUUCGGGAGGCUACGCCGUAAAACAACCCCAUUUCUAAGGUUGACCUCGGAUCAGGUAGGGAUACCCGCUGAACUUAAGCAUAUCAAUAAGCGGAGGA
RNAcentral lists this unclassified non-coding RNA (330 nucleotides) under soil metagenome. Its description in RNAcentral is "partial contains 5.8S ribosomal RNA, internal transcribed spacer 2, and large subunit ribosomal RNA". The stretch from base 1 to 120 matches the Rfam family "5.8S ribosomal RNA", at positions 35 to 154 of the family's 154-position model. The record is from RNAcentral.